This 189-nucleotide non-coding RNA is filed under the name Paenibacillus sp. DMB20. RNAcentral describes it as "partial 16S ribosomal RNA". It matches the Rfam family "Bacterial small subunit ribosomal RNA", at positions 1 to 182 of the family's 1533-position model. The record is from RNAcentral. Lineage: Bacteria; Bacillati; Bacillota; Bacilli; Caryophanales; Paenibacillaceae.
UUAUUGGAGAGUUUGAUCCUGGCUCAGGACGAACGCUGGCGGCGUGCCUAAUACAUGCAAGUCGAGCGGAGCUGAUGAGGUGCUUGCACCUCAGAUGCUUAGCGGCGGACGGGUGAGUAACACGUAGGCAACCUGCCCUCAAGACUGGGAUAACUACCGGAAACGGUAGCUAAUACCGGAUAAUUUAUU